RNAcentral lists this ribosomal RNA (1009 nucleotides) under Tissierella pigra. RNAcentral describes it as "bacterial SSU rRNA". It matches the Rfam family "Bacterial small subunit ribosomal RNA", at positions 1 to 1010 of the family's 1533-position model. Lineage: Bacteria; Bacillati; Bacillota; Tissierellia; Tissierellales; Tissierellaceae. The record is from RNAcentral.
UUAAAUGAGAGUUUGAUCCUGGCUCAGGACGAACGCUGGCGGCGUGCCUAACACAUGCAAGUCGAGCGAAGUUUUCAAAGUAGAUUUCUUCGGAAUGAAACUUUGAUUAUCUUAGCGGCGGACGGGUGAGUAACGCGUGAGAAACCUGCCUUUCACAAAGGGAUAGCCUCGGGAAACUGGGAUUAAUACCUUAUGACACUUAAGAGUCGCAUGACUUUUAAGUCAAAGCGUAAAGCGGUGAAAGAUGGUCUCGCGUCCCAUUAGUUAGUUGGUGAGGUAAUAGCUCACCAAGACUGCGAUGGGUAGCCGGCCUGAGAGGGUGAACGGCCACACUGGAACUGAGACACGGUCCAGACUCCUACGGGAGGCAGCAGUGGGGAAUAUUGCACAAUGGAGGAAACUCUGAUGCAGCGACGCCGCGUGAACGAUGAAGGCUUUCGGGUCGUAAAGUUCUGUCCUUGGGGACGAUAAUGACGGUACCCAAGGAGGAAGCCCCGGCUAACUACGUGCCAGCAGCCGCGGUAAUACGUAGGGGGCAAGCGUUGUCCGGAUUUAUUGGGCGUAAAGGGUGCGUAGGCGGCCAUUUAAGUCAGAUGUGAAAGAUCACGGCUCAACCGUGGUAAGCAUUUGAAACUGAAAGGCUUGAGUUAAGGAGAGGAAAGUGGAAUUCCUAGUGUAGCGGUGAAAUGCGUAGAUAUUAGGAGGAAUACCAGUGGCGAAGGCGACUUUCUGGACUUAUACUGACGCUGAGGCACGAAAGCGUGGGGAGCGAACAGGAUUAGAUACCCUGGUAGUCCACGCCGUAAACGAUGAGUGCUAGGUGUUGGGGGUCAAACCUCGGUGCCGCAGCUAACGCAUUAAGCACUCCGCCUGGGGAGUACGUACGCAAGUAUGAAACUCAAAGGAAUUGACGGGGACCCGCACAAGCAGCGGAGCAUGUGGUUUAAUUCGAAGCAACGCGAAGAACCUUACCAGGGCUUGACAUGCCCCUGACCGUCCUAGAGAUAGG